Molecule: non-coding RNA, 328 nt
Organism: Heterocephalus glaber (naked mole-rat)
Lineage: Eukaryota; Metazoa; Chordata; Mammalia; Rodentia; Bathyergidae
Source: RefSeq, a predicted model, not a curated record
CUAUCUAGGGAGGCCAAGCAUCCUCGCCCACUAGGCCCAGCGAUCAGACUUCAAGACCAUGUGCACAAAAUGAGCUCCCAGGAUGGAUGAGCACGCAUCUGCUAGGCUCUGGACAGGUCACAGCAGAGCCCUUCUCCCUGCUCACCGCCCAGCACACUCUCAUCUCACCGAAAAUCAAAGGAAAUCCGAGCAAUAACAGCAGCUCAUGCCACACUACUCAGGCAAACUUCUCAGUGCCAAUUACUUGGAGGAAAAACAAAAUCAUGCCUGUGCCUCUGGAUGGAAAGUGGUGUCGCUGUUCAAAUGGCUCAGACAAAGCCAGAGGCCC